This is a long non-coding RNA of Meriones unguiculatus (Mongolian gerbil), 950 nucleotides long. RefSeq lists it as uncharacterized. The record is from RefSeq and is a predicted model, not a curated record. NCBI's taxonomy places the organism in Eukaryota, Metazoa, Chordata, Mammalia, Rodentia, Muridae. The transcript has 4 exons.
AGAGCUCUGUCCUGGCCAGGCUCUCCCCAACGCAGACGCGGCGGCCUGCAAGAGAAAUUGAAGCACUGUGUCGGUCGGUGCCCGCCCUGCUCCUGGAGCGGAAAGGGGUGGGCGCGAGCUGGUCGAGGCACCCUCGGAGAGCUGAGGCCCAGCAGGUUACCGGUGGAGAACGGCAGGAAGGCCCCCCGCUUCACGAAGCGGCCUUCGGCAUCCAGGAAGUGGUGUGGGUUGAACUGGCUUGGGGUCUCCCACUGCGUCUUGUCCAGGAGCACCGAGGGUCUCAUGUAGCCUCGGCCGCCCUUAAACUCAAUAUGAGGAUGCCCUUGGAUUUAUGACCCCCUGACUCCUUUCCAGAGUGAUCGGAUUACAGAGACAAAAUGCUGAAACGGGGAAAGCAGGAGUUGAAUUUGUGUGCGUCUUCCCAAAAGCCAUGGCUGGGCCUACAGAUGUCUGCUCCUCAGACUCAGCCCUGAGGGCUGGGCUAGAACCAGGUCCCAGAGCAUUCGAAACAAACACACAGCAAUGAACAACACUCCCCAACCUAGGUCACUUCCAAAUCUGCUCCCUUGGGGACAAGCCCAUCUUGGCUUCUUGCAUCUCCUACUGGCUUCCCCUGUCUGGGCUGGCACAGGGAUACCAUCCAGGCUGCGAGGUGACAGAGGCCUGCUCACCCUACCUCCGUCAGCGCCCGGUCCUGUUGGGUCACACCCAGCAAAUGCAAGUUCCCCAGGAAUGGCAGAGGGCGAGGCCCAGGGGGCCACCGAGGGGCCAGGGUGGGGUCCCGGGCACAGCCCCGGAGCAGCCCCCAGAGCCCCAGGAGCAGCAAGAUCCCCCAGACACCCAGGAGCAGCAGACCCAUGUGAAGCGCCGGGUAGCAAAUCCUCAGCUCUCCAGGGGCCCGGGGAACCCUGCCUUAUAGCCAUCCUCCCCAGGGCGUGCCGGCACCCCAC